CACAGCUAUUGUGUCGGUUAGGUCAUGGAGGCUGAGUCAUUAAGAAACAUCCUUGUCCUCUCCCCCUGAUGGACAUCCCUCUCCACAGACUCCUGCUCAGGAUGGCAGCAUCGGAGGACACACACUGCACCGGUGCCAGACGAGGCUGUGGGAGCCACCGAUGAGGCAGCUGUGACCUUGCGAGCAGAAGCUCAAGAGUCUGAGCCAAAAAAACCUCACCCUCCUUCCCCCGUGGUGGGGUCCAACGUGCCAGCAACGCCAGGUGCCCCUCCAGAAGUGUUUGUGGAGAUGCAGGCUGCCAUCCUGGGGCUGUUUUACAUCAGAAUUGAGAGCACAGGAAAGACAAUAUUGACUGAUUUUCUGGUUGGUGGUUUAGCGAUUAGCAGAUUUUCUGCAGACGUCUGUUGACUCAACAAUACUUCUGGCAAAAUACAUUUGGCUCAAGUGUGCAUAUUAGACAUUCUAGUUUAAUAUUUAAAUGCACAAAAGUAGACUCAUUACCUCUGUUAAAAUUUCUGUAUCUUUAUUCUCCAUCUGUUCACUUUGAGCCCUUUUCCCAAUAGUGAGGAUUAGAUUUGUGGCCUGGCGUUUGACAACUGACUCCAGCUUUUGACCAAAAUGUCAAACCAAGAACUUAACAUUGUUAAGGAACUUCUGCUCUGAACUUUUUUUUGGAGGCCACUUGGGCAUUGUUAAAGCUAGUUCUGCAGUUGCAGGAUGAGACUUAUUUGGAGCAUGUAUCUUACAGCUUCCGCCUUGAGAUCUCCAUAAUCACCAAACCUCCCACUGUGAAAAGAUUAUCAAAGAACGCAUGUAGCAAGUCAUCGCUCACCACAGAGUCCUCCAGGCUAAGAGGCAAAACAUGCAUACAUCAAGUAAAACAUUGCCCAACAUAAUUAGCUACCUUAUCCCAGUGGUCAUUGGAACCUUAAAAUCAAUAAUAACAUUAGUAAAACAACAGUGAACAUGCUGCACUGGUGCCUCAACACAUGCCCAUGGAAAACAGGUCUCUAAAUCGUAGUUGUGUUAUUGUUUAUUUGAUUUAAGCACCUUCUCUUGAAUUAUAAAUCAAGGUGCAAAUAAAAGCUGCAGAUGUAGUUAAUGUGGGUCCACAGCUGCUCUAUUCAGGGAGAUUUUCUCCAGACAGGGAGGCAAACUUGGUCCCAAAGCUGCAAUUGUGGUUUCAGAGGUAAUGCUGCACAGACUCCCACCCAAUAAAAUUUGGUCCCUGAAAACUUUGGAACGUAGAGUUCUGGAGUACUCACAUGUUUAUCACAUGAUUUAUUCAGCAUGGUAGGCCUCUAACUUUUCUAGCUUGUCAGCAUCGCUCUUUUUGCAUAAUGUUACAAUUAGCUUUGGUUAAAUGCUGCACAAGAGAAUGUGAAGGAGUAACUGAAGAGACAUUUAAAGGUUGAUAAAUACACAAAGUGAUCUUGAGGUCUUUCAGCUCUGUUUUCAAUUUCCCUUUUCCACAUUCUCCCACAUGAAAUGGAAUAACCUUCACUGCUUAUAUAACCUUCUGCAUUUGAUUACCAUAUUAACGUCCUUAACAGCAUGAAGCUAAUUUGAGAGCUAUGGAUGUCUUUGGAGAAGGUCACAGUAAUGAAGUGUACACCAAGAACAUGAUUUCAGCUUCACUUAUUAAACAUUUGCUAAUUGUU
This is a long non-coding RNA of Notolabrus celidotus (New Zealand spotty), 1661 nucleotides long. RefSeq lists it as uncharacterized. The transcript has 2 exons. The record is from RefSeq and is a predicted model, not a curated record. NCBI's taxonomy places the organism in Eukaryota, Metazoa, Chordata, Actinopteri, Labriformes, Labridae.